GCAGUGGUGGUUCAGUGGUAGAAUUCUUGCCUCCCAUGCAGGAGACCCUGGUUCGAUUCCAGGUCAAUGCA
This 71-nucleotide transfer RNA is filed under the name Trichechus manatus latirostris (Florida manatee). Its description in RNAcentral is "tRNA-Gly (CCC) (tRNA-Gly-CCC-5-1)". It matches the Rfam family "tRNA". From Rfam's summary of the family: Transfer RNA (tRNA) molecules are approximately 80 nucleotides in length. Their secondary structure includes four short double-helical elements and three loops (D, anti-codon, and T loops). Lineage: Eukaryota; Metazoa; Chordata; Mammalia; Sirenia; Trichechidae. The record is from Rfam by way of RNAcentral.